Molecule: ribosomal RNA, 484 nt
Filed under: uncultured bacterium
Lineage: Bacteria
Description: partial 16S ribosomal RNA
Rfam family: Bacterial small subunit ribosomal RNA
Source: RNAcentral
AUUGAACGCUGGCGGCAUGCUUUACACAUGCAAGUCGAACGGCAGCGCGGGCUCCGGCCUGGCGGCGAGUGGCGAACGGGUGAGUAAUACAUCGGAACGUGCCCAGUAGUGGGGGAUAGCUCGGCGAAAGCCGGAUUAAUACCGCAUACGACCUGAGGGUGAAAGCGGGGGAUCUUCGGACCUCGCGCUAUUGGAGCGGCCGAUGGCAGAUUAGCUAGUUGGUGGGGUAAAGGCCUACCAAGGCGACGAUCUGUAGCUGGUCUGAGAGGACGACCAGCCACACUGGGACUGAGACACGGCCCAGACUCCUACGGGAGGCAGCAGUGGGGAAUUUUGGACAAUGGGCGAAAGCCUGAUCCAGCAAUGCCGCGUGUGUGAUGAAGGCCUUCGGGUUGUAAAGCACUUUUGGCGGGAACGAAAAGGACUGUGCCAAUACCACGGUUCGAUGACGGUACCCGCAGAAUAAGCACCGGCUAACUACGUG